ACUGCUUUGUAUAAACAAAGAUAUUUUUCUGGGUAGUGUGAAGUAGCAAUAAUUGAAAAUGUGUGCAGGUUUCCUUUUCAGAACUUAUUACUCAUAAAGUUAAUUAUAAUGUGAUCUGUAUUAUCUGCAUUUAUACUUUAUAAAACAUAUAAAGCAUCUCUGUGAACUCUAAUAUACAUGCAUCAACUGUAACUCAAAAUUGAAUGAAUCUUCAUUUUGGCUCUCAAUGAGAUGCUUCUAAACCUAUUAGUUUGUGAAUGUUCAUAAAUCUCAGUACUAUCAGCAAGAAGCUGCCAAACUGCGUGCCCAGAUAACCACUUUGUAGAACAGUAACAGGGGUUAUAUGGCUGAGGGUUUGAGCAAUAUGUCUAUCAAGGAGCUCAAGGGCGUGGAGACCAAACUUGAGAAAGCAAUUAGCAGAAUUAGAUCCAAGAAGGAUUGGAAGACAUGUUCUCUUAAAGAAAAGCAGUUACUCAAAGCUUAGUUGUGCAUAAAAAUAGAAGGGCAAAGGAGGCAUGGUGAAAAAGAAAAGGAGAGAGCUGCUGACCAAUUGCAUCAAGGUGGGGAAGAUGAUGAAAGCCUGGGAGAACAUCUCAUUUCAUCUUCUCAUACGAUAAAAAUUCUGCAAAAAGUGAGAAUUGUGAUGUUUUUGUGCAAAGGAGCAAUUUUAUGAAAAUUAAUUUGUUUUCUGGAUGUGUUAGUGUGCACAACCAAGUAGCUAAAACUUUAAACUUGCAGCUUCAUGAUCUCAGUAAAAAGUUUAUUG
Molecule: long non-coding RNA, 766 nt
Organism: Rosa rugosa (rugosa rose)
Lineage: Eukaryota; Viridiplantae; Streptophyta; Magnoliopsida; Rosales; Rosaceae
Exons: 4
Source: RefSeq, a predicted model, not a curated record